Non-coding RNA from Rattus norvegicus (Norway rat), 2698 nucleotides. The record is from RefSeq and is a predicted model, not a curated record. Lineage: Eukaryota; Metazoa; Chordata; Mammalia; Rodentia; Muridae.
CUUUGCUUUUAAGAAUUUAAUGAGCAUUGGUGUUUCACCUGCAUGUGUGAGGUUGUCAGAACCUCUGGUGCUGAAGUUACCGGCUGUUGGGAGUUGCCGUGUGGGUGCUGGGAACUGAACCCAUUGGAAGUGCAGUCAGUGCUCCUAACCACUGAACAAUCCCUCCAGCCUUUCUCAAGGUCUUUAUGAGUUUGGCUUCUUGUGCUAGAGCGAUAGACUCAAGGGAACAAGGUCUGUUCUCUCAGUGGAUAGCCACGAGAGACUCGGAGUCCUGGCUCUUGACUAGAGUCUUUAGGGUCAUUGACAUCCAGAAUCUUCCACUUGAUGCUGGACAGGCUGAGAACUCUAGAAUUGAAGCCAGCCUGUGUCAGGUAGUGGUGAGGAACUCACUCAACAUGGCUGCUGUGGUACUCUCACCCCCACCCCAAGUUGUUCUGUGGUCCAAAGGCUCACUCUGUCCUCUCCUCUGAGAUGACAUGAUGACACAAGUUCUGGAGAGCACCCAAGACAGCUGGUCACCAAAGUGGGGUGGGAGGAAUGGGGUGAUGGCCUGCCUGGUGGUCAGGCCACUAGCCACCAGCCACUGCUGCUCCAGAAAGGCUCAGACCCAAAGAAUUCCCAGCCUGUCCCCAUGUGAAUAUCCCGUUAAAUAUCUAUUUGUUAUCUGUAAAACAUGGCUGCUGUUACAGCUCAGUCGGUUGAGUACUUUCCUAGCAUGUGUGAAACUCUGGGUUCAAUCUUCAGCACUACAUAAAACCAGGCAUGGUGGUUGUAUUAGUCUAGAGUUACAGAAUCUUGAAAUGUCUCUAUAUAUUGACAGGAAUUUAUUGGAAUGACUUAUGGUCUGCAGUCCAACUAGCCCAACAAUGGUCAGCGGUGAAUGGGAAGUUCAAGAAUCUAGUAGUUGCUCAGUCCCAUGAGGCUGAGUGCCUCAGCUGGUCUUCUGUAUAAGAAGUAUUUCCAACAGAGGUGCUAGGAGAUAAGUGCCACCAGGUAAUGAAGAAGGAACCCUUUCUUUUUCAAUCACCCUUAUGUAGGCCUCCAGCAGAAGGUAUUGCCCAGAUUAAAGGUGUGCACCAGCACUCCUGCACCUAAGCUGUUCUUUCCUUGGAGCUUGCUCUGUCCCAGACUGGUCUUGAACUCAGAGACCUUCUUGCCUCUGUCUCCUGGGACUAAAGGUGUGGAUCACCUUGGCUGGGCCUAAGCUUUUCAUGGCCACUAUACCUCAAUAACCAAAAGCAUGUGUCAUCCCAAGUCAAGAUCUGGAUCAGAAGCCUGCGUCUUCCAACCUAAAGAUCCAGAUUAGAGAUGUACCUAUUUCUGGAUUGUAGUUCAUUCCAAAUGUAGUCCAGUUGACAACCAGAAAUAGCCAUCACAGUGAUGAAUGCCUAUAACCCUAAUAUGAGGGAGGUAAAGGCAGAAAGAUCAGAUAUUCAAGUUAUCCAUGUCAACAUAGUAAGUCUGAAGCCAGCUUGAGCUUCCCUCUCCACACACACACCCAAUUUUAUUUCAUUUGUUUUGUUUUGUUUUGUUUUGUUUUAUUGGUUAAACAGUUGUCCCUCUACUGGUGUGGGGCAAGUGGACUGCGCCACCAGACAAAAGAACUGGUAAGGUUGAGUGAGCGGCUAACCCUGUGAACUCAGAAUUGAGUAAGGUAGGUAGGCGUGGGACCAGCUCUCUGCCAAACUACCUUCUCUGGACCAUGUAACCACAAUAACCGCUGAGAGGGCCAUGACACUCAGUCACGUAGAGGAAAUGCCUGAAGUCCAUCCCCAUGCUCAUAGGGCAUCACUAGCAUUUCAGAAUGAGCCAAUGGGAAAUGUCUACCCCUGGAUCCUACCCUCUUCUGUAACUUUACUUUUUUAAGGCUUAUUUUUAAUGAUGGUUCUUAAACAUUUUGACCUCCCUUUCAGUCCACCAUCCACCAGAGGUAGUGGAAAAGAAAGGAUAUGGGGUGUGUUUGGGGGUGGGUGGACCUGUUUAGAAAGGGUUCUUUGGAGCAACUCCCAUCGCCUAUCUGCAAUGUCUGGAAAUUGAUAGUUCUGUUCACAGGUCAAUAGUGGCAGCUCGAUCUACUUGCAAACAUUUUACCAAUAUACAGCAGUCCAGUUUGGUAGAGUGGGGACAGCAAAUGAGAAUCAGCAGCAGUGGCACUUCCCAGCAGAGACAGCCUCAGCACAAGACAGCUAGAGAGUCCAUGGAGGAACACCAGAAAAAGUUCUUGGCUGUGCCUCUCUAGCAAAGUGAAGAUCAGCAAAGACUCAAGACCAACAAGCCUUGCACAGCGAGCUCUGUCUUGGGUCAGCACGUGAGUCUGUCUCAGCUGACAUCACUCUGCCAAUCAGCCCCGAUCCGCAGAAGUGGCAAGAAGCCAUGCACACCACCAGACGUUUUUUGGUGCAUGUCUCUCUAUGGAGUCCUGACAAAUGCAGCUCAACUUGUCAGUGUAAGGCGGGCCAAUUCAUGCAUGUCUUUAGCAAAGAAUCCUUCAUCACGUGUGCUUUCACAUGCUUUCUUUAGCAGAACAUUCUUUCUCCUGUGUCUGCUUCAGUGAAGUGUUCCUUCAUGAGUUUGUCCCAGCAAAAAACCAUCCAACACAACUGACUUCCUAAAGAACUUUUGAGUUUCCACUUCACUACUCAAAGUCUAUAAAGUCUUUAUCUACGUGGAAUAAAGUGCACAAAUUAUUUUACUGAAA